UUGGACUUCAGCAGAGAUCAGAAUUAGUGUGAGACACAAGAAGAACUAACUUCAUGAGAGGAUCUACCCGUAGAUCUGGAUGUGGACCACCUGCCCUCUGAUCUCACCUGCCACCUAACAAGCUCCGCCAGCAGAACCCAGAGGAGAACUCCCCUCCUGGGAGGCAGAGCUGUCCCAGCGGCUGCCUCCAGUGUGACUUCCUGUUCAACUUCUUAGAUCCCAACUUCCUGGCCUUUGUCCAAUUUUUGCUCCCACUGACCUUCCUGGCAGCAGAGUCUCUCUGCAGAAGGAAAACCUGCAAUGGAUUCUCUUUGCUUCUGGCCUGGAAGUUGCUCCACUGAACUCCAGCUGCCAUGUACUGCCCUGCCUCCGGGAGCAACUGACAGUAAUAGCCAUGCCACUGUUAAUUACUCAUAAAGCAAAUGAUGAGGUCUUGCUAUGUUGCCCUGACUUGCCCUCCAGCCUCAAGCUGUAGCUGGGAUUACAGAGCUGGAAGACACAUCUCUGAAUCCUUGCCUGAAUGUGUGUAUGCUUUUAAAAAAACAAACAAACAAAUAAAAACUCACCUUUAUCCAGAGCCUCAGGACAGAAAAAUAAAACCUACCCAAAGGGAAGCACAAAUGAAUAUUUUAAAUUGUGGUGGAAGCAGUACGGGCACACACUGAUACUGAAAUCUGAGAGAUACAAUGUUGAACAAGCUCCAAGUUCUUUUCAAGGCUCACAGUUUGACUAAGCAAGAGUUCAUCAUGUUGUAAAAGAUUCCCUAAAAGAAGUCUUUAUAGAAAUGUAACAGGAAUUCCAAGGUGGUACCUAGCUUAGCUAGGUUGAGUAGAAAAAUGACAGUAGAAAAUACUGGUAAGAGAUGGUGAUACUGGCUGAUGAAAUGCAAAUAUUAAUUGUAAUUGCAAAACAGAACAUGUGUUGGUGUCUCCAGAAAAUUGUAAAUCUCUCAAGAAUAUCUUGAGCACACAACUUUCAUCGGACCUUAUAGCUAACGAGAUUUACAGAGGCUAGAUUGUGGGAAAACUUAGGUGCUAUAAUUUUAACUUUAACCCAGAGGUGAUUGGAGCCACAUAGAUGUCUUCUCUCCAUGUGGGGUUUGAAGAAUGUUGGUGAUAAUUAGAUUUGCACAUCAGAUGGAUUACUUGGACAGCUGGAUAGAAGUUCUGAAGAGGAUUGAUAUCGGGAUCAGGAGGAGUAGGAGACUCUUACCAAGAACCAGAAGGAAAACAACAAGGCCUUACCAAACAUGAAGAGGAAGAAGUAGAGCUCUAAAUUGAAACCAGUAAGGCUUGAUGAUGGGUUGGAUUGAGUGUAGAUAAUAAAAGGUAAGAGGAAUUAAAAGAUGACAUUCUUAUUUCUAAAAAUAGCUGCAAAUUUUACUAGGGUGAAAUUAUAGGGUUUUGAAAGCUUUAUUAAUGUGUUGAUUCCAAAUAAUCUCAAAGUUACAGGCAAGUCGUAGUUUUAAAGAAAAUUUUCCUAAGUUACCAACUUAAUGCUCCAUCAUCCGCUAACGUUUUUGUAUACAUUGAAUACAAGUAAGGAAGCUCUCCAACAAAAUCACAAUACAACCAUCACGGGCAGGAAAUUAAAAUUGAUUCAUUACCACUAUCUAAUCCUGGGUUCCACCAAUUGUCCUUUGCAUUCUCCAUGACAACAGGACCCUGUUCAAGGUCGUGUUUUUGUUCAGUUGUCAUAUCUCUUUUGUGGUCUUCUCUCUGGCUCAGUUCAUCAGUCUUUCCUUGCCUUUCAUUCUACUGACUGAUUCAAAGAUUAUCAGUUGGUCCUGGAGUUGUAGCUCAGUAGUUAGAGAACCUGCCUACCACACAUGAGACUCUGGGCUCAAUUCCUAGCGUUGAAAUCAAAAUGAAGGUUACUAGCUAAUUAUUUCAUAGAUGUUCUAUUUUAACUGUUGGAGUUAAUAAAUAUUUUGCAGGGAUGGGCUCUAAAUUGUACAAACCUCACUCUUCACAAACUUUAUUAUGUUAUAUCAUAGAAGCUCAUACUUUCCCAUUUUAUUCAGUGCAUUAUAGUCUGUCUUUACUAUUAUUUCAAUGCAUAAAAUAGCCUAUAUUUGGCCAGCAAGAACCCUUUCAGUUGGUUUUAUCAAUACCUUUUUCCAUCCGUCUUUGAACAUCUCCCUGCUUUUGAGCCCAGCAAGUUUUUCCACUCCGGGGCGGUGUGGAAGGCUUUCACUGCCCGGCUCCAGUCAAUCCCCUCCUCGAAGUUCCUGACUCCCAGGGGAGAGGAGAGGUAGGUAGGAUGCAGUAGUGAAGAUCCAGGGCACUAGGCAUACUCAGGAGGAGUCAGUGAUGACUUUCUUACUUUGUAAUAUUUCUCUGAAAGAUUUUUUAGCGCAUUCUUAAAAUCCACACCUCUAAAUCAUUCUUUUUUUUUUUUUUUUUUUUGUCUUUUUCUUUUUUUAUCGAUACCGGGGAUCGAACUCACGACCGCCUGUUUGCAAGGCAGGUGCUUAUGCCGCUGAGCUAAAUCCCCAGCCCCCCCCCCAAAUCAUUCUAAUAUUUAGUUUCUUCUAUCCUUCUAGUCUGCAGUGCAUCAAAUUACUGAACUGUUGGGACUGACUCCUUUUGAAUCAGUGUUUUGCAAUAUAUCUUAGCCCUUGGAGGGAUUCAGGGUUUGGCUGGGGAAGGAGCUGUAUGCUUUUGUGAGUUGGAAUGAUGCGGUACACUCAGGAAACUGAUUUAAGUCCCUUGCACAUCAGAUUUAUGGAGGGUCCUCCCCAAUAAGGGGCUUCUGAUGUAGUUGGGAGCACUGAUGAAUAUAAUGUUGAAAAGAAAACAAUAAAUAGAAAUGAAGACCACAGGGAAAAUUAAAGAUUGGUAAGAAAAACUAGAGUUGGAUUUUUUAAAAAAAUUCAAUAGAGAAUUCAAAUGCAAUACAAAAUGCAGCUUCAGAAAUGAAUGCCAACAAUGAAAGUGUGCAACAAACUAGAGAGAGUGUGCAGAAGUUUUGGAAAUACCCAGGUCUAGGAUGGAAACUCUACUGCUUGCUAACUAUGUAAGAGAUGAGAACUUAUUUUGGCUACAGUUUCUGUGUCUGCAGGUUAUGGGUGUUCUGGCAUAUGUUUAACAACUGACUCAUCAUAAGUAAAUAAGGAAGAAGGGAAAAAAAGGUCUCAUUAAUAUCCAUAGAUUAAAUGAUCCCAUUAUGGCUAAUUACAGUAUAAGCCAAUAGUGUAAAGUCACUGAGCACAGAGCAGAGAAGAAAUGCACGGUAGUGUGCUAUAAUGGGUAUUUCCACCACAGAGCUCUAGUAGGUGUAAAUAACCUCAGAGCACAUGUGAUAGUAACAUAUAGAAAAAUCAUUAGCAAGCAGCAGCCUUUUGGAGUAUUUAUUACCUAUGUUUCUAAAUACAAUUUAAAUGGUGACUCCUACCCAUAAUCCCAGCCACUCAGGAAGCUAAAGCAGGAGGGUUGCAAGUUCAGCCAGUAUGGGCCACUUACUGAGAUCUUGUCUCAAAAUCAAAAAAUAAAAAAGGGCUAAGGAAUGUAUCAUUGAGCAUCCCUGAGUUCCUGAUUCCUCAAUAUCGUAAUCAAUACAUUAAUUAGAAAUUUAAAUUUUAAUAUAUAUGCAUAGGUAGGUAUUUGUAGCACUGGGGAUUACACUCAGGGCUGUGGGCAUUCUGAGCAAGGGCAGCAACCCUGAGCUCCAUCCCCAUCCCUUUUUACUUGUUAUUUUGAGUUAGGGUUUCUUUAAAUUGCCCAGGAUGGCCUCAAACUUUUAAGGUCCUGCCUCAGCCUCCCGAGUAGCUGGAAUUACAGCGAUAUGUCACCAUGCCUGAGUUUAUAUAAUUUAAAAAUAAUGACCUUGUGUAACAGCUCAUUUCCAAAAUUUCAGAAAGUGUAAUAUUCAGCUCAUUUAAGCUGGUACAACCCAGGUCUAAUACACCACUGAUGAGUGAUAAUAGUCACCCCUUAUUAUUUUAGACCUCACCUACUCACUAAAAUUUACUUAUAACCCCAAAUCAAUGCUCUGACAGGUGAUGGUUAAUUUUAUAUCAGGCUGACUGGGCCAUAGGAUAUCUAGAUGCAUUAUUUGAUUUUUGAGUGGGAUUAACCUUUGAAUCAGUAGAGUGAGUAAGACUGAUGAUUUUUACAGUGUCAGUGAGCUUUGCUCAAUUUAUCCAAAGCCUGAACACAGCAAAUACAAUUUCGUCUCUGGCUGUCUCUGAGGUCACUGGUCAUCUUCUGCCUCUGAACUCUGAUCUGGCCUGUAGCGCCCACCCUCAAUUCUUCUGGGUCCUCAAAUACUCACACGCACAUCUUGGGACUCCUCAGCCAGAGGAUUUUGGUGCAGGUCAAUUCUGCCUUUAAAUCAAGCUCCUUCUCUCCAUCUCUCUCACAUAUAUGUAUAAAUCCCUGGAUGCUUCCAUUUCUUUGGAGUACCUGACCAAUAGCACCACUUUUACAGUCAUCCUCUGGACAUGUGCAGGUUGGUGAAAACUUUGAGUUGCACACAUGGUCAUUUCCAGUUGACCAGGGUGCCUGCUUUUGCCUUCUUGUUCCAGUUCUCAUGCUGUAAGUAACCAUCCUUUAUGCGCCCCACUUGGUGCCAUCUCCUUUGUGUUUGUUGCUGAUUUCAUUGUUUAAAAUAAAUAGCACCCAAAUCUGGGUGGGUGGUGCACUCCUGUAAUCCCAGCCCUCCAAUUCUUUCCUUUCCUUCCUUCAGCAUUAUUAUUGGCUUUUUCCAUUAUGUAGUUCAGGCUGGCCUUGAACUCACUACAUGGCCCAGCCCGGCCUUAAACUUGCAGCAGUCUUCCUGCCUCAACCUCCGAGGUGAUGUCACUGCAGGUGAGCACCACCACAUCCAGCUAAUUUUGUAAAAACCACUAACUAUCCCACAGUGGCUGCACCAUUUUGCAUUCCCAUUAGCUAUGAAUGAGAGUUUCCGGUGUCCCACAUCAUUGCCAGCAUUUGGUGUUGUUAGUAUUCUGGAUUUUGGUCACCACCCUUAAAUGUCUGGUCCUAUCCUACUGUUAUUUUCUGUCUCCUUUCCUUCCUCCUUCCUGCCUCCCUCCCUCCCGUCCUCCCUUCUCAUUUAUUGUGAUACUGGAGAUUGAACCAGGGCCUUACACAUACUUAGCACCCACCCUGUCACUGGGCUACAUUCCCAGCCCCAACCUAUGACUUUUAUUUUUGAGACAAGUCUCAUUCUGUUGCCCAGGCUGGUUCUGAACCCAGGGUCUUCUCACCUCAGCCUCCCGAGUAACUGGGAUUACAGGCACGAGCCAUCUCAGCCCAUACUCCAUCGUGGUUUUAAUCCACAUUUUUCUCAUUUAUGAUAUGCAGCUUCUUCUUGUCUUUUUCCCUCCCUUACUAGAUUGUAUGAGAGCAGGAACUUGUAUCUGUUUUCUUCGCCAUUCUAGGUUUAGUGUCUGUAACAAUUUCUUCUACCAAGUGGGCUCUCUGCAUGAGUGAAUGACUCAGCCAGGCAACUGAGCCUUUGCUAACCAAGUGGUCUUUGGCUACAUAAAUAAUUUCCAUUAUUCAUUAAGUUAAAAAUAUUAAAAACUUCAAAAUCUGGUCCUGAGUAUUGCAGCUUAGAUGUUUUGACCCAUUUCUGUGUCAGAAUGGUCUCUCACAUUUUCCAGUCCUGUGCCUUCCUCUCCUCAGUGCCUCUCCUUGUGUUUCCAGCCACUUCUUGGGCCCCAUCCUACACGCUCCUUCCCUGAGCCCUUUUCUGUGCCCAGAGCAGCGCCCGUAAGAGCAGCUGAAUGCCAAUCAGAGUCCCAAAGUAGCUGGUGACAAAGCACUUUCUCAUUUAUUUCCUCCUACUUUAUGGCAGAGGCAGUGCUGACGGCUGGCAGUGCACAUCUUGCCAGCUCGCUCCUCUUCUCUCGCCAUCUCCCCCUCCUCUCUGGGAAGGUAUUUCUGAGCACACAUUUAUUGUGCCUUGUGACAUGCCAGGCCCUAGGAAUGCCCCCGGCAGACAAGCUUCAUGCUGCUCCCACAUCUACACUUUGCUCUGCUCUGUGCUGUGGGAUGCAGUGUAUCAUCUUCUGGGCUCCACACCAGCAAUUUUUGGUUAAGGUCAGCCAAAGGACAAAGCGAGAUGAGAGCGGUAUCGUGGUAUUUACUCCCCCAGGGCAGCCUGCCCCCUACAUGACUCCCUCUUAUGGCAUCUGGUAACAGCCUAGUUUGGCAAAGCUUCCCAGGUGACCUCUGGGUGUCUUAUUUUCCCUAGUUUGAUCUUGCAAUUCAGCCUGUAACUCAAAAGUAUUCCUUUUACUAAUAAACUUAACCAUUGGAUAAUGACACGAUCUUUGUGCAGUUUUCAAAAAUUUCAGUAUUUAGGAAUGAUGCAGGUCUUGUUGCAUCAUGCAUUAACACCUUGGAGAUAAUCAAUGGUGUGGACCCCAGGCCCUACCGUGAUGCUUGGUUUAGAGGGACCCCCCAUCUAGAGGGCCAUCCCAGUAGAUCCUGGAGCAUAGCACCCUGCUUCGGUGUCUUCCCUCUUUCCAUAUUGUUGGCAGUGUUGCCACUCUUCCUGUUGAAGUGAGUAGGAGUGGUGGAAACAGGAUUAGGGGGCAGAGACCACAUUUGCCUGGGGUGAAUGCUGGGUUGAAUGCGGCAGCGGCAGUGGCUGCUGUAUGGAGGGGCCUAGGAUGAGCUGAGCUGUCCUGUGCUUGUUGGCAGAGGAGCUUCCAGUGCUAGAUUAUCUUGAGUUUACUGGAAGCGUUUAUGGCUCCACAAGAAUGUACAGUCUUGUUUUUUUUGGUACUGGCAAUUGAACUUCGGACCUUGCCCUUGCCAGGCAGGUGCUGUGCCACUGAGCUCUAUCUCGUCUCUAUUCUUCUAUUCAUGAGUGCAACUUGGAGAAAUUUUGGUGGACAAAAUUUACUAGAAUAAUUUAUGCUUGAGAUUAAAUUGCUGUUGGAAGUAGUUAGAAAAAUUUUAAGAUUGUUUUACUGGGUAUUUACCUUACUUUUAUAAUACUGGUGAUGGUGGUGGUGGGGUGUCUGGAGAUUUUUCUGUGCUGGUUUAGUAGCUUUUGAGACAUCAGAGAAAAAAGAGCAGCAUGGAAAAGACAAAGUCUCUCAACCAAGGCAGAGAAAAGGGAGAGAGGGCCUGAGGGCAUGGGCCCCAGUCCAGAGACAACAGUUUCCUGCUGUGCUUGGGUUGUUGGUCCUUGAUGCCUCUUUUGUAAUUUGGGGGAAUCAAUAGUGUGAUACAUUUAAGCUGGCAUCUCUACAAAUCACUGUUUUUCAGAAUGAAGUGCGAUAUAAAAUUAAACACUGACUUUUUCUUUGUUUUGCUACCAGGAAUUGAACUCAGGACCUUGUGUCUGCCAGGGAGGCACUGUGCUGCAACACUGAAUUUUUUAUACCCAGUUUUCAGAUAUACUUAGAGAAUAUGAGAUGCGAUUAAAGACAAUAGCGGGCAUCUAAAUUUUACAAAUGACAGUAAGACACAUGUUGCCAUUAACUACUUCAUCCUCAAAGCUCCCCUUCUGCUCACACUCCUUCAUCACUCUUGGCCGCUUUCUGAAGCAGUUCUGAAAAUCCCCAUUUGUGAAUGUAUUUAGUUGCCCUGUCAUAAUUGCUGUGAUAUCUUAGAUCAGCUCAAGAUAUUUAUCGUUCAUGGUCAUUUUGCCUUGGAGGCAGAACCUGAAGCUGCACAAUGCCAAACUCAGUGAUCAGGUGAAUGAAGAGACACGAUGCUUGCUUUUAUUUAUUUUGGCACCGAGCACUGAACUCAUAACCUUGCACUUGACACCGUAUAUUUAGAAACCUGCUU
This is a long non-coding RNA of Cavia porcellus (domestic guinea pig), 7757 nucleotides long. RefSeq lists it as uncharacterized. The record is from RefSeq and is a predicted model, not a curated record. The transcript has 5 exons. Lineage: Eukaryota; Metazoa; Chordata; Mammalia; Rodentia; Caviidae.